CGCACCUGAGUCCGCAGAGUGUGUCGCGUCUUCUGGUCUGAUUUGCACUGAACUUGAGCAGCUAGCGUGACGACGUAAGGAGUGCGUUCCUUCUCCAACAGCGAACAGCCCCGCAAGGAUGUCAGAGCGAAAUAAGAUCGAGAAGAAAAUGGCAUGGGGUCCUUGUCGAAGUACCUACUGGACCAACAAGAUAUUGGUCCUGCCUGGGAUGCUGGGAAUGUUCGAGAAUCAGUGGACGAAAGUGGGAAUCGGAUCCUUCGAUUUCGCAACUGAACGAGAACAAUCCUUCGAAGGGAAUCCCAUCAACCUGCUCACGAAGAAGAAUCAACAAACCCCAGUCAUCCCACUGAGUCUGUCCUACUGCGUCAUCCUUUUCCACCAAACUACCACCUUCCGUUAUAUCAAUCCCUUCUACAACGACAUUGCCUCCUAGCGCACCACCUCUUCCUGGUGCGCCAAUCCCAUCUAGCAAUUUCAGGAGCAUGGGCCGGCGACAUAUAUAUACGCGGAUACGACUCUGUCGGUGCCUAUAAGAUAGUCGGAUAGAACGUUAAUCCCACCGAGGAUCCUUUAUCCUGAAAUCCGCGACACCUGCACCGACGCCAUCCUUUGGGAACGUGCCAAAUAAUUGCAGAGUCAAGAGCAAGGAUCACUGAUCAGAAGACAAGCAAGUGGACAAACGAAUUCAAGGAUAACAUUUUGGGAUACCGGAAGCACCAGGACAUCGUCGUUCACGUGAACCAAAUUUAGAAUCAGCACCAUGCCCACUGACGGCACAACAGUGUCUGCGCCCGGAACUUUUGGGGUGUCCCUGGAGCGAAGGACGUUGUUGCUACAUUCCGCGUUCGCCACCAGGGAAAUUACUCGCUGAGACAACACACGCUGGUUGGCUUUUGUGUACCCAACUAAGAGAUAACUAAUAGGGUCCGUAGAUUGUGCCCGCAGACGCCUCGAGUUUCUACGUAAUUCAAUCCGAACGCGAGCCUUUAUAUUUUAUUCCUUCGAUCACAGUCGUUCGAUCCUGCUUCACGUUGGCGAGUGAAGGUCGGAUAAGAUAAGAUUAAAAAAAAGAAAGGAGCAUCCGAAGUUUCACAAAAUUUUUAAAUUUCCCUCAUCUUCGCACCUGCCUUUACGUUUUAAACGCGCGUAAAAGACUGUCCGAGAUUCCUCGAGUUUAAAGUGACAAUCAGAACGCCUUUACCCGGCAUUGUUUGAACUUGUUAAUUAUUUGCUAAACACGUUAUCCGCUUAAUGGGGAAACUUAGUCUUGGUGUAGCGAGAGUAAAGGAGACUGAUUAAAAAUACAAAAUUCAUGUCGCUCUUAAACGUGACUGAAGGAAGAAGUGCGGGAAGCUGCGUCACUUGAGAGAAGGACGCUAGAGGGACCAGUAAGGAAAUACGAGAGAGAGAGUAAACUAUAACCAAGUGGAGAAGGUAGGUAAAACAAGUCUUAAGGAGAAAGUGAGACAGCUGCAAAUCUAUUUCAAUGGGUAAGAUAAAGAGAGUAAAAGGUGUAGGUGUUUGUCAACGGUUGCCAGUAGUUAAUUACUUUACAUGGUAGAAACUUCCAACCCUUUUGCUACUUCAGACACCCUCAAUACGUAUAUACCUAUAUACACGUUGAAGGUAGCAAGCCAAGCCUGCGUCUACGCGAAUGUACCGGCGUCACCCGUCGUAAGAGUUUACAAGACUCUAAUUCGCAUCUAGAGUUCUGUGUACGCGGUAAAUAAAGUUGACUUCUUCUCUCCUCUUA
Molecule: long non-coding RNA, 1753 nt
Organism: Cephus cinctus (wheat stem sawfly)
Lineage: Eukaryota; Metazoa; Arthropoda; Insecta; Hymenoptera; Cephidae
Exons: 3
Source: RefSeq, a predicted model, not a curated record